This 468-nucleotide ribosomal RNA is filed under the name uncultured bacterium. RNAcentral's name for it is "partial 16S ribosomal RNA". It matches the Rfam family "Bacterial small subunit ribosomal RNA", at positions 28 to 507 of the family's 1533-position model. The record is from RNAcentral.
GACGAACGCUGGCGGCGUGCUUAACACAUGCAAGUCGAACGGAAGGGCCCUGCGUUUGUGGGGUUCUCGAUUGGCGAACGGGUGAGUAACACAUGAGUAACCUGCCCUUGACUGUGUGGUAAAUUCACGAAACAGGGGCGAUUACCGCGGAGGAUCUCCUGCUGCGUGUGGGUGAUUGGAAAGUUUCGGCGGUUGGGGAUGUACUCGCUGCUUAUCAGCUUGUUUGUGGGGUAGUGGCUUACCAAGCCUAUGACGGAUAGCCUGCCUGAGAGGGUUACCGGCCACAUUGGGCCUGCGAUACGGCCCAGACGCCUACGGGAGGCAGCAGUCGGGAAUCUUGCACAAUGGGCGGACGUGUGAUGCAGCAACGCCGCGUGCGUGAUACCGGCUUUCUGGUUGUAAACAGAUUUCGCAUGUACUGAAGAGUGCGUGACGGUACUGAGUCAAGAAGCCCCGGCUAACUACGUG